UCUAAUUAUUUAAUAGAUAUUGCCUAUCCAGAUUGUCUGUUUCUUCCUGUGUGAGUUUUGGCAGAUUGUAUCUUUCAGUGAAUUGGUUUACUUCAUCUAGAUUAUCAAAUCUGUAG
Molecule: long non-coding RNA, 116 nt
Organism: Cebus imitator (Panamanian white-faced capuchin)
Lineage: Eukaryota; Metazoa; Chordata; Mammalia; Primates; Cebidae
Exons: 3
Source: RefSeq, a predicted model, not a curated record